Molecule: non-coding RNA, 73 nt
Organism: Phrynosoma platyrhinos (Desert horned lizard)
Lineage: Eukaryota; Metazoa; Chordata; Lepidosauria; Squamata; Phrynosomatidae
Source: the annotation of a GenBank genome assembly
GCUAGCGUAGUGCAGUGGUUUGAAUAUUGGACUAGGACUCCAGGAGCCUAGGAUUUAAAUCCCUGCUCAGACA